AGUGAACGCUGGCGGUAGGCCUAACACAUGCAAGUCGAACGGCAGCACAGUAAGAGCUUGCUCUUACGGGUGGCGAGUGGCGGACGGGUGAGGAAUACAUCGGAAUCUACUUUUUCGUGGGGGAUAACGUAGGGAAACUUACGCUAAUACCGCAUACGACCUACGGGUGAAAGCAGGGGAUCUUCGGACCUUGCGCGAUUGAAUGAGCCGAUGUCGGAUUAGCUAGUUGGCGGGGUAAAGGCCCACCAAGGCGACGAUCCGUAGCUGGUCUGAGAGGAUGAUCAGCCACACUGGAACUGAGACACGGUCCAGACUCCUACGGGAGGCAGCAGUGGGGAAUAUUGGACAAUGGGCGAAAGCCUGUUCCAGCCAUACCGCGUGGGUGAAGAAGGCCUUCGGGUUGUAAAGCCCUUUUGUUGGGAAAGAAAAGCAGCAGGUUAAGACCCCGCUGUUCUGACGGUACCCAAAGAAUAAGCACCGGCUAACUUCGU
RNAcentral lists this ribosomal RNA (491 nucleotides) under uncultured bacterium. Its description in RNAcentral is "partial 16S ribosomal RNA". It matches the Rfam family "Bacterial small subunit ribosomal RNA", at positions 29 to 506 of the family's 1533-position model. The record is from RNAcentral.